CGCCAUGCAAGUAUAAGUACAUUUUUUGAAAUUGCGAACGGCUCAUUAGAGCUUAUAUAAAGUUUUGGGGUGCCUUUUAGGCUAUCUUCGACAAAUUGAAGCUAAUACAUGCAAACAUGUCCUUUUCGAAGGGCGCAAUAUUAGAACUACUGGCUUGCCGGCGGUUGAUUUCAAUUAUCGUUUCGAUAUCGGAAGGCGACUUCCGAUGGCCGUAAACUGUGUACGCCCUAUCACCCAGCAGGUUAAUCAUUCGCUAACCAGGGGUAUUACGGGUAACGGAGAACUAGGGUUCGUCUCCGGAGAAGAAGCCUUUGAAAGGCUACUACAUCCAAGGAAGGCAGCAGGCGCGUAACUUAUCCACUACCACAGAGAGAUAGUAACUAGUCUUAACUAUUGACUGAUCUUUUAGGUUAGUCAUGGUCCAUGAGUUGAGCCUAAAUAGCUCUUCCAGGACCAAGUGGAGGGCAAGUCUGGUGCCAGCAGCCGCGGUAAUUCCAGCUCCACUAGCGUAAAAUAUUACUGCUGCGGUUAAAAAGCUCGUAGUUGAAUCUAGUCGUGUCCGUUGGGUUUGUCGUUGGCGUUUAUUCGUCUUUGGCGUUAAUUCACGGCCGAUUUUUGCUGGUUUGCUGUUGGUCUUCGGAUCUUCGGUGGCUAGCGAGUUACUUUGAUCAAAUCAGAGUGCUCAAAACAGGCGAAAGCUUGUAUGAUUUCUCGAGGAAUAACAGAAGAGGACUUCGGUUCUAUUUGUUGGUUCCAGAAUCGUUUAAUGGUUAAGAGGGACAAUUCGGGGGCAAACGUAUCCUCGCGCGAGGGGUGAAAUCCGUAGACCGUGAGGAGACGACCAAUAGCGAAAGCAUUUGCCAA
RNAcentral lists this ribosomal RNA (864 nucleotides) under Rhabditis sp. 1 MK-2017. RNAcentral describes it as "SSU rRNA". It matches the Rfam family "Eukaryotic small subunit ribosomal RNA", at positions 47 to 961 of the family's 1831-position model. The record is from RNAcentral. Lineage: Eukaryota; Metazoa; Nematoda; Chromadorea; Rhabditida; Rhabditidae.